CACAGCUAUUUAUAAAACAUGUGAUUAUUUAUGCAUUGGGUUAUGAGAAGUUCGGCUAGGAGAGGCCGUGAAGGCGGCUCCAUCAAUCCAGUUACCUGAACCCCGGAGAGGUGGAGGGAGGGUUUCUCAGCAGAAAUGGGGCCGGACAGGAAGUUGGCUGCCGUGAUUUGUCUGAAAUAUGUCAGCCUCACUGCCUCUCCCAGAAAGGGUAGACAGGGAGAAAGAGGGAUAGCAAAGUUGAGGGUAGAGGUCACGUUUUUUAGAAACCAGGAUGCACACUGAGAAAGCAAAAAGCAGAAGCCCCCACAAACUGCUCCUCAUACCUUGGGUCAGUUCCUGCCUUUAUCUUUGUUUACAAAAUGAUUUUUGGUGGCAGGUCCGCUGAAAUGGCUUGGUCAAAAGGUUCAACUUCAAAGAAAUAGGCGUUGCAAGGGCAGGAAGACUUCCAAACCGGUCUGGGGAUGUCUAAGUUGGGUGCGCUCCUUUGUUCUGCAGGUUUGUUUGCCUUGGUUUUCUGAGUCGCCCGGCCUCUUCCCACUGCGCACCACGCCUCCAUUUCUGACUAUCAGAUCUCCAGAAAAUCAACAAAAGUAACUGCGGGUCCCGUCGGGCUUUCCCUGGCUUGGUGGGUCGCUCUCCCCGGAUGCAGGGAGAACGGGAGGAGAGAUCGAGAUGGGGACGGUCACUCAAUUGUGAUUCUCUCCAGUCCAAGCUGGCAGGGGAGCAUCAAGAACCCCCAAACAGCAAACCAGCCCAACAUGGCUUCCUGGUGGUUCAAAAGGUAAAGAAUCUGGCAGUAAUGCAGGAGAAUCAAGUUUAAUCCCAGGGUCAGGAAGAUCCCCUGGAGGAGGUCAUGGAAACCUAUGCCAGUGUUCUUGCCUGGAGAAUUCCAUGGACAGAGGAGCCUGGUGAGCUACAAUCCAUGGAGUCGCAAAGAGUCAGACACGAUUGAGUGACUAAUACUUAUUUCACUUAGCAUAAUAUUUUCAAAGUUCAUCCACGUGGUAGUAUGUAACAGUAUGUUAUUCCUUUCAAUGACUGAAUAAACUUGUAUGUUUAUACCA
This is a long non-coding RNA of Bubalus bubalis (water buffalo), 1064 nucleotides long. RefSeq lists it as uncharacterized. The record is from RefSeq and is a predicted model, not a curated record. Lineage: Eukaryota; Metazoa; Chordata; Mammalia; Artiodactyla; Bovidae. The transcript has 2 exons.